UGUAAGUCAACAUGAUACUCACCUGGACUCCAUCACCUUCCUGAUUACCUCCCCUAUAUCUGCCACUCCCUUUGGUUCUUUCCUCAGUAUUGCUCCUGUGUAGAAACUACUGUUAUGUUGUCUCGGUUCAUGGUUGUUGUUUUAGUAAAUGUUUCACCUGCUUCUCUACUCUCAGAGUCUCGGUUACAGACUACUGACUCCAACAAUGGAAGUAGCAAGAAAACAGAAUAUCUCCCAGAAGGUUGACCUUCUAAGUCAACACCAUGACCAGCUGGCACAACUGGGGACGGCUAUGGAAGAGGUUUUUCGCCAUGUGCAAAGUCACGAACACACCCGGGAGGCGUUGUCUUCAACUAGCAGAGGAUACUCUACAACCAGUCGACCCAGUGAGUCAGCCCAUUCAUCAACCUGCUCAGGUCAGCGAUGCCCGUUUGUCCCUCCCAGAUAAAUAUGAUGGCACUCCAUCUAAAUGCCCUGGCUUCCUUCUUCAGUGCUCCUUCGACUUUACACACCAGAUGGGAGCUCCCACGGUCCAAGGUUGCCACAGUUAUUUCUCUGCUGACUGGGAGGGUGUUGGAAUGGGCCACGGCCAUCUGGGAGAGGAGCUAGAAUCUUAUGAGUGGUUCAUGGCUCGGUUUAAAUGUGUCUUCGAUCUUCCCCCGGAGGGCAGAGAGGGGGGUGAGCACCUACUCCAAUUAUGGCAGGGGGACUAGACGGCUGCCGAGUACGCGCUCACCUUCCAGACGGUACCAACAUCCAGCAGAUGGAACUAGCCGGCACUUCGUACGCUAUUUAGGUCUGCGCGAAAUGGUCCAGAUGGAACUGGCCUGUCGAGACAAGCUUUCCUUGGACACACUCAUUGCGAUGGCCAUCCGUCUGGAUAACCUACUUCAGGAGUGCAGGUACUCUCAUUGCGUCUCUCCCUCCCUCAGUGAACACUCGAUUAGAGCCUGAACCCAUGGAGGUAGGGGUCACACGCCUCCCUAUGGCGGAGUGAUGGGGCUCUGUCUGUAUUGUGGUCAAGGAGUGCUCCAGCGGUAUCCGGCACUUCCUAAUCUGGGAUACACAAGAGUAGAUGAACAAUCACGUGAUCUUCCACCUCCUGGGGCAGGACCCUUGAUAGUCAGCCACUAGGAUCUAGAACCAUCCCCUUCAUUACCAGUUCACAAGAUCAUCCUCGAACUCAACGCCAUAACCCCACCAUCUCAUGGUCGAGAAUAAGCAUCAGACUGGUCACCCGAAUGCCGGACGACCUGCUUCCCCAUCCCCUGUGGUUCCACGUCAAUUGAGUCCUGUGGUUGCCCUUCAGCCCAACAUCCCGGAAGUAUACCAGGACCUGCGGGAGGUAUUCUCCAAGACCUGCGCCACCGGUCUUUCUCCUCAUCACCCCUUGGACUGUGCCAUCGACCUGCUUGCCGGUUCCACAGACGCAUCUACCCUCUGUUGGUGGCUGAGACCCAGGCUGUGGAGGAUUACAUUCAAGAGGCGUUCCAUCAAGGUUUCAUCCGCACGUCCACUUCUCCUGCAUCGGCUGAUUUGUUCUUCAUGGCCAAGAAGGAUGGCGGGUUACGUCCAUGUAUUGAUUAUUGACUGGAGUCCGGCCUAUGCCGUCAGAUCCCUACUGGACUCGUGCCGUUGUGGGGGUCGGCUCCAGUAUCUGGUGGACUGGGAGGGGUAUGGCCCAGAGGAGCGGUGUUGGGUUCCGGUGGACAUUCUGGUGGGGGGGUGGUACUGUCAAAUCUUCUCUCGCUCCUUCCCUCCGGCAUUCGACAUCUAACAGCCGGUCCUGGGAUUCAUCAUUACGCACCUGCAUAUCCACAUGAUACCCACCUGGACUCCAUCACCUUCCUGAUUUCCUCACCUAUAUCGGUCACUCCCUUUGGUUCUUUCCUCAGUCAGUAUUGUUCCUGUGUUUAUGCGUAGACGUUACUGUGAUGUUGUCUCGCUUCAUGUUUGUUUUAAACGUUUCACCUGCU
This is a long non-coding RNA of Oncorhynchus tshawytscha (Chinook salmon), 1976 nucleotides long. RefSeq lists it as uncharacterized. Lineage: Eukaryota; Metazoa; Chordata; Actinopteri; Salmoniformes; Salmonidae. The record is from RefSeq and is a predicted model, not a curated record. The transcript is spliced from 2 exons.